AGCGGCGGACGGGUGAGUAACGCGUGGGUAACCUGCCCUAUACACACGGAUAACAUACCGAAAGGUAUGCUAAUACGAGAUAAUAUAAGAGAUUCACAUGGAUUUCUUAUCAAAGCUGAGGCGGUAUAGGAUGGACCCGCGUCUGAUUAGCUAGUUGGUAAGGUAACGGCUUACCAAGGCGACGAUCAGUAGCCGACCUGAGAGGGUGAUCGGCCACAUUGGAACUGAGACACGGUCCAAACUCCUACGGGAGGCAGCAGUGGGGAAUAUUGCACAAUGGGCGAAAGCCUGAUGCAGCAACGCCGCGUGAGUGAUGAAGGCCUUCGGGUCGUAAAACUCUGUCCUCAAGGAAGAUAAUGACGGUACUUGAGGAGGAAGCCCGGCUAACUACGUGCCAGCAGCCGCGGUAAUACGUAGGGGGCUAGCGUUAUCCGGAUUUACUGGGCGUAAAGGGUGCGUAGGUGGUCUCUUAAGUCAGGAGUGAAAGGCUACGGCUUAACCGUAGUAAGCUCUUGAAACUGGGAGACUUGAGUGCAGGAGAGGAAAGAGGAAUUCCUAGUGUAGCGGUGAAAUGCGUAGAUAUUAGGAGGAACACCAGUAGCGAAGGCGGCUUUCUGGACUGUAACUGACACUGAGGCACGAAAGCGUGGGGAGCAAACAGGAUUAGAUACCCUGGUAGUCCACGCCGUAAACGAUGAGUACUAGGUGU
This 709-nucleotide ribosomal RNA is filed under the name uncultured bacterium. RNAcentral describes it as "bacterial SSU rRNA". It matches the Rfam family "Bacterial small subunit ribosomal RNA", at positions 94 to 823 of the family's 1533-position model. The record is from RNAcentral.